This 27-nucleotide unclassified non-coding RNA is filed under the name Dictyostelium discoideum. Lineage: Eukaryota; Evosea; Eumycetozoa; Dictyosteliales; Dictyosteliaceae. The record is from RNAcentral.
CCUGGUUGAUUCUGCCAGUAGUCAUAU